GUGCUUGCUUUGGCAGCACAUAUGCUAAAAACUGGAAUGAUACAGAGAAGAUUAGCAUGGCCCCUGCGCAACGAUGACACAUAAAUUUGUGAAGUGUUCCAUAGAUUU
This 108-nucleotide small nuclear RNA is filed under the name Salvator merianae (Argentine black and white tegu). Lineage: Eukaryota; Metazoa; Chordata; Lepidosauria; Squamata; Teiidae. The record is from RNAcentral.